GCUAUUGAAAACGACUGGCGAGCACAGAUUUGAUGAAUUUUCUUCUGAUAAUAACGGUCAGGGGAGCACCAUGGUUCUCUUUGACCCAAUGUCACUCCCUCGGAUGUGGUGAGAAUGGGUCAAUUUUCAUACAUUUAUAAAUAUCAAAUUUCAAAAAGUUGUUUAAGAAAUAUACAAAGAAAUUACCCAUGAACGUAUUCCCAUACUGGAAAAAAUAUUGCAAAUCAAUUUAAGAGAGUUAUUCUACAAUCAAUUUGGACAUAUGCACUUUGGUCCAUUUUCAAUUAUUAUGGAAAUGAUCUCGUAUGAAAUAUGAAAAAAAGUUUUCUGGGGAAAGGGGCACCCACAUUCGUAAAUCCGGCGCUGCGCCCUGUACUAUUCGAAGCUGUCACGCCUUCGAGUCUCUAAUACCUGAUCUUUUCUAGAGCACUUUGCAUUCACCUAUGUAUGAUUACUGUUUUUCUACGCCACAAGCCCACCACAUGCAGUGACAAUCGACACAAGCCGAGAAGACGACGACGACGACCAUCAUUUAUGACGGAAGGAAGCCCACCUUUUUUUCGGUUUUGAUUUUUUCAACUCUGCGUCGUAUCGUCUCGAUAAAGCACACAUCACACCGAGAGCGGCGCGCCGCCGUGCGCUUCCUCUUUUGCGGUGUGUGUGGUUUGUGAGCUGAGCAACAAUCGAAUCGAAGAAGGCUACAAUUUUAGUCCACCUUCGUCGUCGUCGUCGUCGCAACGGCUCUGGAACAAAGCAACAAACGAACGACAAUAACCUCGUCCCGUCGCGUCGCGUUGUCUCCUCUCAUCAUCGGACGAUCCUCGGAGACGACGGCGACGACGACGACGGUUGCUAAGUUAGUACCGCUUGCGCGCGCGCUCAAAGCCUACUCCGUUCCAUCGCAACAUCAGCGGGCGCCAAGAAGGAAGGCGGAAGGAAGGUGCGCAAGGAGGGACGACGAGCAUCAGUUGCUCGACUGGAUCUUUGUAAGACCUGCCAGCCAGUCCAGGGCCGAUAGUCAGCAAUGGAGAAGAGCAAGAGUAGGUACCGAAAACGCACCAAGCGGAACGGGCGAAACGAACGAGACUGACGGAGAACUCGACUUUGCCUACUGUUGCACCGCCACCGCGCGCCUACUACGACAGACUGACUGGCUGAAUUGCGCGAGCGGCGGAGAGCCCGCUAAAAUGGCGCUGUCCCGAACCUGAAAGCCGAAACUUGGAUCCCUCUCACCUUCGCACUAACACAAUCGCCUUCGCCCCAUCGCAGUAUGCGUAGGAGACUUAACGGUAACAACAGAAGAAAAAAGGCAACGAGGGAAGAGACUUGCGCUGAGCCGAGAGAGCGACUUGCAAGCGAGGAACCUCUCCCUUCGGGCUGGCAAGGAUAUAACUAGGACACAAAAGUCCGUUGGAACAUCGAGUGGAGGGAUCUUUCGCGCGCACGCGAUUGAAAGGAACAAGUGUUCAGUUGGUUGGUAGGCGCGCAUUCCUUCACUCUAUUUACACAUAAUUAGAGCUAGGAGCGUGUGAAAGCCGAAGGACUUGUUGAGCCCCUCGUGUUUUUUUUAUGACUGUUUUUUUAUAUACGUAGACAGUACUUUCCCGAUUCUGCCUCCAGUUUCAGCAACACUUGUUGUAGGCAACCAUUUCAUUCCGAUUUUAGCUAAGUAUGCUGUUUCACUCAAGAAAAGUAAA
Molecule: long non-coding RNA, 1697 nt
Organism: Aedes aegypti (yellow fever mosquito)
Lineage: Eukaryota; Metazoa; Arthropoda; Insecta; Diptera; Culicidae
Exons: 2
Source: RefSeq, a predicted model, not a curated record